RNAcentral lists this ribosomal RNA (322 nucleotides) under Fejervarya cancrivora (crab-eating frog). RNAcentral's name for it is "partial 12S ribosomal RNA". It matches the Rfam family "Bacterial small subunit ribosomal RNA", at positions 898 to 1407 of the family's 1533-position model. Lineage: Eukaryota; Metazoa; Chordata; Amphibia; Anura; Dicroglossidae. The record is from RNAcentral.
AACCCAAGGACUGACGGUGUCCCACCCCACUAGAGGAGCCUGUCCUAUAAUCGAUGGUCCCCGAUUCACCUAACCUUUCUUUGCUAAUCAGCCUGUAUACCUCCGUCGUAAACUUACCAUAUGAAUGGUCCAAUGAUCCAUCUAUACGUCAGGUCAAGGUGCAGCUUAUGGAAAGGCAGAGAUGGGCUACAAUUUCUAACUUAGAAUAAACGAAAUACUGCAUGAAACACAGGCAUGAAGGAGGAUUUAGUAGUAAAGAGAAACAAAUGUGUUCUCUUUAACCCGGCCCUGGGACACGUACACACCGCCCGUCGCCCUCUUC